This is a non-coding RNA of Acyrthosiphon pisum (pea aphid), 70 nucleotides long. The record is from Rfam. NCBI's taxonomy places the organism in Eukaryota, Metazoa, Arthropoda, Insecta, Hemiptera, Aphididae.
AAUUGAUGAUGAGUAUUUUUUAAGUCAGUUCUGCUACUGAAUGUAAUUGAAGACAAUAAUUUUCUGAACA